Molecule: ribosomal RNA, 406 nt
Filed under: uncultured bacterium
Lineage: Bacteria
Description: partial 16S ribosomal RNA
Rfam family: Bacterial small subunit ribosomal RNA
Source: RNAcentral
AUUGAACGCUGGCGGCAGGCUUAACACAUGCAAGUCGAGCGAGCGGCGGACGGGUGAGUAAUGUAUGGGAAUCUGCCUGAUGGAGGGGGAUAACUACUGGAAACGGUAGCUAAUACCGCAUACCAUCAGAUGUGCCCAGAUGGGAUUAGCUAGUAGGUGGGGUAAUGGCUAACCUAGGCGACGAUCCCUAACUGGUCUGAUAGGAUGACCAGCCACACUGGAACGGAGACACGGUCCGGACGCCUACGGGAGGAAGCAGUGGGGAAUAUUGCACAAUGGGCGCAAGCCGGAUAAAGCCAUGCCGCGUGUAUGAAGAAGGCCUUCGGGUUGGAAAGCACUUUCAGCGAGGAGGCGUUACCCGCAGAAGAAGCACCGGCUAACUCCGUGCCAGCAGCCGCGGUAAUAC